This 432-nucleotide ribosomal RNA is filed under the name uncultured bacterium. RNAcentral describes it as "partial 16S ribosomal RNA". It matches the Rfam family "Bacterial small subunit ribosomal RNA", at positions 29 to 507 of the family's 1533-position model. The record is from RNAcentral.
ACGAACGCUGGCGGCAUGCCUAACACAUGCAAGUCGAACGAGACCUUCGGGUCUAGUGGCGCACGGGUGCGUAACGCGUGGGAACCUGCCCUUAGGUUCGGAAUAACUCCCCGAAAGGGGCGCUAAUACCGGAUAAUGUCUUCGGACCAAAGAUUUAUCGCCUUUGGAUGGGCCCGCGUUGGAUUAGCUAGUUGGUAGGGUAAAAGCCUACCAAGGCGACGAUCCAUAGCUGGUCUGAGAGGAUGAUCAGCCACACUGGGACUGAGACACGGCCCAGACUCCUACGGGAGGCAGCAGUGGGGAAUAUUGGACAAUGGGCGAAAGCCUGAUCCAGCAAUGCCGCGUGAGUGAUGAAGGCCUUAGGGUUGUAAAGCUCUUUUACCCGGGAUGAUAAUGACAGUACCGGGAGAAUAAGCUCCGGCUAACUCCGUG